This is a long non-coding RNA of Salvelinus sp. IW2-2015, 1957 nucleotides long. RefSeq lists it as uncharacterized. The record is from RefSeq and is a predicted model, not a curated record. NCBI's taxonomy places the organism in Eukaryota, Metazoa, Chordata, Actinopteri, Salmoniformes, Salmonidae.
CCUCAGGACUCCAGUGGUGGACCUCUCCUCCCCACAGGAUUCCAGUGGUGGACCUCUCCUCAGGACUCCAGUGGUGGACCUCUCCUCCCCUCAGGACUCCAGUGGUGGACCUCUCCUCCCCUCAGGACUCCAGUGGUAGGCCUCUCCUCCCCUCGGCACUCCAGUGGUGAACCUCUCCUCCUCUAUGGACUCCAGUGGUGGACAUCUCCUCCCCUCUGGACUCAUGUGGGUGUGGGGAGAGAGAGUUUCAGAGUUCUACAAGAGAAAUGAUGUGCCUUUGUCAACUUCAAGAAUCCCAACAUGGCUCGCACCUGAAAGAGGCUCCAUCUGAGUGGUGGGAUGAAACAUAAUGCUGUCUGUCAUAUGCAUUUAACUAUUUUGUCCUCCUGUCCAGGGGGUGGAGCUGGAGAGAACCAGGCUGAUGAUCAGGUACCCAGACAGCUAGAUAGAGAACCACUACCUCUGCCCAGAGGACCAACCCUAUAGGCCUCAACACCUCCUCAGCCUCCCAGUACGCCUCCACAGGGACCAGGAGGAUGGCUCCCAUCAAUGGUGAUGAGUGUUUCUUCUGGUGGACCACCGGCUGUUUCUAUGGUGACAAGUGUCGCUUCAACCACAAGCCUAAUCAGAGAGGAAGAGACAGGAAACCAUGUCAACCCUGUCCACCCCGCAGUGACUGGAUAGUAGAGAGGGAGGAGAAUGAUGAAGAUUAAGGAAGAGGAUGAGGGACUGUGUCCCUACUUUAAAAGGGAACAGGAUGCUUGGGGGGGGUGUCACCCCGUUUGUAGUCCUCUGGCACAGACCACAGAUCCCAGACAGAACACUGGACAUAUAUAAUGAGUGUGUGAAGUGUCAAUCAAAGUGAAGAGGAGUGCACCUCUGAUUUCCUUCCCUCUCUCCCUCAGCCUGAGCUGUGAAACAUGGAAAUUACAUCAUCAUUAGAACCUUGAAGGGAUCUUUGCCCAGUGAACCUCCUGUGUGAUGACCAUGUUGUAGACACUAAGGGGGCUGACAUCUGUUGUUAUCAUGUGUUUUACUGUGUGUGUAUGUAUGUAUGUAUGGUCAUGUGACUGGACAUGUGACCUGAAUGUGUGACCCCUUGUGAUGUCGCUGUGAGACUCACUGGCAGCCUGAUGCCGUAGGGUGCCUAGUAAUUUCCCCAACAGGGGAUAAAUAAAUGCUAUUUUUGAAUUGAAUUACAGUUGAAUAUGGGGCAUGUUCCAGGCAGAUUUUAUUGCAGUCACCUGCCUGCUCUCACAAACAUUAGUCAUUCUCCUUUUUUACCUAAAUGGGUACUAUAAUUCAAAAUAAAAUAGCUAGAUGAUCCAUGGUAUGACCACCUUAAAACAAUUCCACAUGUCAGCUAGUAGAACCCCCCCAAACGGCUCAGACUUUUAGAUGUUCAGAAACCCAGUGUCAGAGGGAGCAAUGUCCAGCACCUAAACACACAAAUCAAAUCGUAUUAGUCACAUGCUCCAAGUAUAACAUGCGUAGACCUUACUGUAAAAUGGUUAAUGACAAGCCCUUAACUAACAAUGCAGUUGUUUUUAUGUAAGAAAAUAAUGAAAACAAUUAUUAUAAAAAUGCUACAAAAAAGAUCACAAUAAAAUAACAAUAACGAAGCAGCAAUAAACAAUUACAUGAAAGAUUAUUCAUUGUCAUUUUCAACAAAAAAACACCACUCAGACACUACAGGACACAAUAAUCCCAGACAGACAGACAGACUUAGUUAUAUGCAUGUCAGGGUUCACUUUGGGUCCGUUGUUCUGAAGAUCAGUGAGCUGAACACAUCUCUUUCAAACAAGAACACACUGGAAACUCAGAGCAGCUUGCCUUGGCCUUGGRAUAAUGACAGCUCACUGUUGUCUGUUGUUUCUAGCUAGCUAAUGUUGAUAGCUAAAUGUUAGCUAACUAGCUAGCUCACAACCUAACUAUGGGGUUUUGCUGUAAUUCAGCA